UUUCCGUAGGUGAACCUGCGGAAGGAUCAUUGCAAAUGAUUUGGGAGAAAUUUGUUGGAAUGUGCGAUAUAUGCGAGUGUCAAAUUUUUUACUAUCAUUACAACUCUCCACAAUGGAUCUCUGGGCUCUU
This 130-nucleotide unclassified non-coding RNA is filed under the name soil metagenome. RNAcentral's name for it is "partial contains small subunit ribosomal RNA, internal transcribed spacer 1, and 5.8S ribosomal RNA". The record is from RNAcentral.